UUUUAGGGAUAUCGGGCACGGGGUUCUCCUCCUCCGACUGUUCUCCUUCACAGUUCGUGAUCCUGCGUGCCGCACAGGCGGUAUCCCGCUUCGUGUGCAAAAAAGCUCGUC
Molecule: small RNA, 111 nt
Filed under: unclassified sequences
Description: IMPDH RNA
Rfam family: IMPDH RNA
Source: Rfam by way of RNAcentral